GAAACAACCCAGACCGCCAGCUAAGGUCCCAAAGUCAUGGUUAAGUGGGAAACGAUGUGGGAAGGCCCAGACAGCCAGGAUGUUGGCUUAGAAGCAGCCAUCAUUUAAAGAAAGCGUAAUAGCUCACUGGUCGAGUCGGCCUGCGCGGAAGAUGUAACGGGGCUAAACCAUGCACCGAAGCUGCGGCAGCGACACUAUGUGUUGUUGGGUAGGGGAGCGUUCUGUAAGCCGUUGAAGGUGGCCUGUGAGGGUUGCUGGAGGUAUCAGAAGUGCGAAUGCUGACAUAAGUAACGAUAAAGCGGGUGAAAAGCCCGCUCGCCGGAAGACCAAGGGUUCCUGUCCAACGUUAAUCGGGGCAGGGUGAGUCGACCCCUAAGGCGAGGCCGAAAGGCGUAGUCGAUGGGAAACAGGUUAAUAUUCCUGUACUUGGUGUUACUGCGAAGGGGGGACGGAGAAGGCUAUGUUGGCCGGGCGACGGUUGUC
Molecule: ribosomal RNA, 483 nt
Filed under: Escherichia coli
Lineage: Bacteria; Pseudomonadati; Pseudomonadota; Gammaproteobacteria; Enterobacterales; Enterobacteriaceae
Description: partial 23S ribosomal RNA
Rfam family: Bacterial large subunit ribosomal RNA
Source: RNAcentral